GGGCGGCGGCGGCGCGGCUGGAAGGGCCGGGGCGGUUCUAGAAAGCGGCGAGAGGCGCGGCGGGGCCGGGUGAGCGGGGCAGGCGUCCGGCGGGCUGCAGGUGGUCUGUGAGAACGAAGCUGAGCUAAAGUGCCACCAACAGCCCUUACCAGGAUAACACUUCACCUUUCUGGUGUUACGGACCUAGGAAAUAAUCCUGCAGGUUUGAGCUAUUUGGAAGAUGAAGCCCAGGCUGCAGUUGGUGUUCUUUACCUGUAUUCUCUUGAUCUGGCACACAGAAGCUGAGUUCUUCACAUCCAUAGGUCAAAUGACAGACCUGAUUUAUGCGGAGAAGGACUUGGUACAGUCUUUAAAGGAAUAUAUCAGAGCAGAAGAGAGCAAGCUCGCUCAGAUUAAAAGCUGGGCUGAAAAACUGGAUGUACUGACCAGCAAGUCAACCUCAGAUCCAGAAGGGUACCUGGCACAUCCUGUAAACGCGUACAAGCUGGUGAAGCGUUUAAAUACUGACUGGCUGGAAUUGGAAAACCUGGUUCUUCAGGAUACAACGAAUGGCUUUAUUGCAAAUCUUACAAUUCAGCGUCAGUUCUUCCCAACGGAAGAGGAUGAGACUGGAGCUGCGAAGGCCCUGAUGCGCCUGCAGGACACGUACAAACUGGAUCCUGAAACACUCUCUCGAGGCAACUUACCAGGAACAAAAUAUAGGUCCUAUUUGACAGUAGGUGACUGCUUUGGUAUGGGGAGGACUGCUUACAAUGAUGGAGACUACUAUCACACAGUACUCUGGAUGGAACAAGCCUUAAAACAACAUGAUGAGGGGGAGGAUACGAGAGUCAGCAAAGUGGAGAUCCUAGAUUAUCUCAGCUAUGCUGUUUUCCAGUUUGGGGAUUUGCACAGAGCCAUGGAGCUUACCAGGCGGCUGAUAUCUCUUGACAGUACUCAUGAGAGGGCAGGCAGUAAUCUGCGGUACUUUGAGAAGUUGCUGGAAAAGGAGAGAGAGGAGGAGGAGAAAGAGAAGUCAAACAAGACCAUGACAACAACAGAACCAGUGGUGCAAAGUGGUGCCUAUGAGAGGCCUCUUGACUACUUGCCAGAGCGUGAUAUCUAUGAGGCCCUUUGCAGAGGUGAAGGGGUAAAAAUGACACCUCGAAGACAGAAAAGGCUGUUUUGUAGGUAUCAUGAUGGAAACAGAAACCCUCAUCUGCUCAUAGCUCCCUUUAAGGAAGAAGAUGAAUGGGAUAGCCCUCAUAUUGUACGAUACUAUGAUGUCAUGUCUGAUGAGGAGAUUGAGAAAAUUAAACAACUAGCUAAGCCAAGGCUGGCACGAGCCACAGUACGUGAUCCCAAAACCGGUGUCCUUACAGUGGCUAGCUACAGGGUGUCGAAAAGCUCAUGGCUGGAGGAAGAUGAUGAUCCUGUUGUGGCCAAGGUGAAUCAACGAAUGCAGCAGAUCACAGGGUUAACAGUGAAAACAGCUGAACUGUUGCAGGUUGCCAACUAUGGAAUGGGAGGGCAGUACGAGCCACACUUUGAUUUUUCUAGGAAAGAUGAGCCAGAUGCUUUCAAGCGGUUAGGGACUGGAAAUCGUGUGGCCACUUUUUUAAACUAUGUACCAAGCAGGAGGACACCAAAGUGGUAAUAACAUCUGCUUUAAACAGAAAUUCAAGUUACAGUAGAGAAUGUGGGGACUUGGGGAGUGUAUUAAUAGUAGUUCUGCUGUUUUAAGUUUAGUGGGAGCUGGAUCUGACUCAUUUGUUUCUUUUAAUUAGAAUUUGAUCAAAAACUUACUGAAAUCAGUGGAAAGACUUUAUAUUUUUAAGGAGUGUUUCCAUGAACUUCGGUGGGGUUUGGAUCAAGUCUGGAAUUUGUAGUGAAUCCAUUGUUACUGAUUAAUUCAGGAAGGUUAAAUCCCUUCCAGUGUAGAAGGGCGAAGGAUAAAGAUACAUGCUUUUCUUUAGAGUCAUAUAGCUGUAUGUAUUGAAGCUUGCAAUGCAUAAAGCACUUGAAGUGGCAUAACAUCACUGGUGAACAGCAGAGAAUCAGUGCAGAAAGUGAGGUUUUCUAAUAACUUUUGUAGGGUUUGAAGUGGUUGACCAAGAUGCAUGAACUAAAUUACAAACAUCAGUUCCAAAGACAUGGUUUCAAUUUAUGAGGAAACAUGUGGUUUAACAGACACUUGUUUUCCUAAUUGGGUCAUAAACCAGAAUGAAAUUCUUGAAGCUGCCCGUCUCUGAAUCCUCUCCCUUGUUCUAGAGCAGUAUUUCAUUAACACUGCAGGUACAUAACUUCUGGCGGCUGACUGUCCAAUGGAUUAUAUAUAGUCUAGACGAAAUGCUGAACAAAAGCCAUGAAUAGCAUGCACUGUUACUUCUGCAGUUCAUGCUGGUGGAAGAGCAUCCUUUCCUCAUCAGUGCCUCCAUAGAGGUGCGAGCAGGAAUCUCUGUCAGGGCUUGGGGCACUCUAGCUUGUGGGACUGCAUAUACGAAAAGCUUUGUAAAUGGACAGAGUUUGUGGACUUUGUUUUCUCAGAUGAGUGAUGUAGAAGCUGGAGGAGCUACAGUGUUCCCAGAUUUUGGGGCAGCAAUAUGGCCCAAGAAGGGAACAGCAGUGUUUUGGUACAACCUUUU
RNA transcript from Strigops habroptila (Kakapo), 2624 nucleotides. It is a transcript of the gene named prolyl 4-hydroxylase subunit alpha 2, with no coding region annotated. The transcript is spliced from 15 exons. NCBI's taxonomy places the organism in Eukaryota, Metazoa, Chordata, Aves, Psittaciformes, Psittacidae. The record is from RefSeq and is a predicted model, not a curated record.